Molecule: ribosomal RNA, 299 nt
Filed under: uncultured Pyrobaculum sp.
Lineage: Archaea; Thermoproteati; Thermoproteota; Thermoprotei; Thermoproteales; Thermoproteaceae
Description: partial 16S ribosomal RNA
Rfam family: Bacterial small subunit ribosomal RNA (bases 51-299)
Source: RNAcentral
UAAGUCAGUAGAGGGAAGGGGGGGGAAGACGGAGGGUCCAGGAGUUAAUGGGGAUAACUGUGCUUAAAGUGGGCGGAGGCCGGCCUGCAAGUGGUGUGUGAAAUCCCCCGGCUGAACCGGGGAACAGCGGGGCAUACUGCGGGUCGUGAGGAAGGUAGUGGUUACCGGAACUGUAGGUGGAGCGGUGAAAGGCGUAGAUAUCUACAGUAACGCCGAUGGUGAAGACGGGCAACUGGGCCUUUCCUGACGAUGAGGCACGAAAGCGUGGGGAGCAAACAGGAUUAGAUACCCUAGUAGUC